This 470-nucleotide ribosomal RNA is filed under the name uncultured soil bacterium. RNAcentral's name for it is "bacterial SSU rRNA". It matches the Rfam family "Bacterial small subunit ribosomal RNA", at positions 26 to 485 of the family's 1533-position model. The record is from RNAcentral.
AGGACGAACGCUGGCGGCGUGCUUAGCACAUGCAAGUGGAGCGACGAAGCGGACUUCGGUCCGUGGCAGAGCCGCGAACGGGUGAGUAACACGUGGGUAACCCACCCCGAUGACCGGGACAACUCGGGGAAACUCGAGCUAAUACCGGAUGUUCUGCACCCUUACAAGGGGGUGUAGCAAAGAUAGCUUCGGCCUUCGCAUCGGGACGGGCCCGCGGCCCAUUAGCUUGUUGGUGAGGUAACGGCUUACCAAGGCUUCGAUGGGUAGCUGGUCUGAGAGGACGAUCAGCCACACUGGGACUGAGACACGGCCCAGACUCCGUACGGGAGGCAGCAGUGGGAAUCUGCGCAAUGCGCGAAAGCUGACGCAGCAACGCCGCGGUGGGGAAGAAGGUCUUCGGAUUCGUUAAACCCCUUUGAGUUGGACGAGUCCUUACGAAGGUUAAUAGACUUCUGUGGAGUGACGUCUUA